Molecule: ribosomal RNA, 514 nt
Filed under: uncultured bacterium
Lineage: Bacteria
Description: partial 16S ribosomal RNA
Rfam family: Bacterial small subunit ribosomal RNA
Source: RNAcentral
GAUGAACGCUGCGGCGUGCCUAAUACAUGCAAGUCGAGCGAAUGGAUUAAGAGCUUGCUCUUAUGAAGUUAGCGGCGGACGGGUGAGUAACACGUGGGUAACCUGCCCAUAAGACUGAGAUAACUCCGGGAAACCGGGGCUAAUACCGGAUAACAUUUUGAACCGCAUGGUUCGAAAUUGAAAGGCGGCUUCGGCUGGCACUUAUGGAUGGACCCGCGUCGCAUUAGCUAGUUGGUGAGGUAACGGCUCACCAAGGCAACGAUGCGUAGCCGACCUGAGAGGGUGAUCGGCCACACUGGGACUGAGACACGGCCCAGACUCCUACGGGAGGCAGCAGUAGGGAAUCUUCCGCAAUGGACGAAAGUCUGACGGAGCAACGCCGCGUGAGUGAUGAAGGCUUUCGGGUCGUAAGACUCUGUUGUUAGGGAAGAACAAGUGCUAGUUGAAUAAGCUGGCACCUUGACGGUACCUAACCAGAAAGCCACGGCUAACUACGUGCCAGCAGCCGCCGUAA